GGUGGACAAACCGGAGGAAGGUGGGGAUGACGUCAAGUCAUCAUGGCCCUUACGGCCUGGGCUACACACGUGCUACAAUGGUCGGUACAAAGGGUUGCCAAGCCGCGAGGUGGAGCUAAUCCCAUAAACCGAUCGUAGUCCGGAUCGCAGUCUGCAACUCGACUGCGUGAAGUCGGAAUCGCUAGUAAUCGUGAAUCAGAAUGUCACGGUGAAUACGUUCCCGGGCCUU
This 229-nucleotide ribosomal RNA is filed under the name uncultured Pseudomonas sp. RNAcentral's name for it is "partial 16S ribosomal RNA". It matches the Rfam family "Bacterial small subunit ribosomal RNA", at positions 1154 to 1382 of the family's 1533-position model. Lineage: Bacteria; Pseudomonadati; Pseudomonadota; Gammaproteobacteria; Pseudomonadales; Pseudomonadaceae. The record is from RNAcentral.